This 251-nucleotide unclassified non-coding RNA is filed under the name uncultured Lactifluus. Its description in RNAcentral is "sequence contains ITS2". The record is from RNAcentral. Lineage: Eukaryota; Fungi; Basidiomycota; Agaricomycetes; Russulales; Russulaceae.
AAAUCCUCAACCUUCUUCUCUUUCUCUUUGAUUGGGGGAAGGCUUGGACUUUGGAGGCUUCUGCUGGCCUCUCUUGAAGCCAGCUCCUCUUAAAUGCAUUAGCGGGGGUUUCUUUUGGUCAAUCCUCGACGUGAUAAGAUCCUUUCUACGUUCGGGGCGUUGGCUUUGAGACCCGCUUCUAAUGGUCUCGCAGAGACGCUCGGUCGAGUCUUGCCCUUUGCUUGGGGGGACUUUGACCUCUAAUGAACCCU